This 467-nucleotide ribosomal RNA is filed under the name uncultured bacterium. Its description in RNAcentral is "partial 16S ribosomal RNA". It matches the Rfam family "Bacterial small subunit ribosomal RNA", at positions 28 to 506 of the family's 1533-position model. The record is from RNAcentral.
GACGAACGCUGGCGGCGUGCUUAACACAUGCAAGUCGAACGGAAAGGCCCUGCUUUUGUGGGGUGCUCGAGUGGCGAACGGGUGAGUAACACGUGAGUAACCUGCCCUUGACUUUGGGAUAACUUCAGGAAACUGGGGCUAAUACCGGAUAGGAGCUCCUGCUGCAUGGUGGGGGUUGGAAAGUUUCGGCGGUUGGGGAUGGACUCGCGGCUUAUCAGCUUGUUGGUGGGGUAGUGGCUUACCAAGGCUUUGACGGGUAGCCGGCCUGAGAGGGUGACCGGCCACAUUGGGACUGAGAUACGGCCCAGACUCCUACGGGAGGCGGCAGUGGGGAAUAUUGCACAAUGGGCGGAAGCCUGAUGCAGCAACGCCGCGUGCGGGAUGACGGCCUUCGGGUGGUAAACCGCUUUCGCCUGUGACGAAGCGUGAGUGACGGUAAUGGGUAAAGAAGCACCGGCUAACUACGU